RNAcentral lists this ribosomal RNA (468 nucleotides) under uncultured bacterium. Its description in RNAcentral is "bacterial SSU rRNA". It matches the Rfam family "Bacterial small subunit ribosomal RNA", at positions 29 to 491 of the family's 1533-position model. The record is from RNAcentral.
AACGAACGCUGGCGGCAUGCCUAACACAUGCAAGUCGAGGGGCAGCACAAGGAGCAAUCUGAGGUGGCGACCGGCGCACGGGUGCGUAACGCGUGAGCAACAUGCCCGUAUCAGGGGGAUAAUCCAGGGAAACUUGGUCUAAUACCCCAUAGUAAUCAUAUCAGGCAUCUGGUAUGAUUUAAAGCUUAGGUGGAUACGGAUUGGCUCGCGUGACAUUAGCUAGAUGGUAAGGUAACGGCUUACCAUGGCUAUGAUGUCUAGGGGUUCUGAGAGGAAGGUCCCCCACACUGGAACUGAGACACGGUCCAGACUCCUACGGGAGGCAGCAGUGAGGAAUAUUGGACAAUGGAUGGAAAUCUGAUCCAGCCAUGCCGCGUGAAGGACGACGGUCCUAUGGAUUGUAAACUUCUUUUGUAUGGGAGCAAUAAGGUCUACGUGUAGAUCGAUGAGAGUACCAUACGAAUAAGC